Molecule: ribosomal RNA, 432 nt
Filed under: uncultured bacterium
Lineage: Bacteria
Description: partial 16S ribosomal RNA
Rfam family: Bacterial small subunit ribosomal RNA
Source: RNAcentral
CCUACGGGGGGCAGCAAUUAGGAAUCUUGCGCAAUGGGGGAAACCCUGACGCAGCGACGCCGCGUGUGGGAUGACGGCCUUCGGGUUGUAAACCACUUUUGCCAGGGAAGCGGUACCUGGUGAAUAAGCCCCGGCUAACUACGUGCCAGCAGCCGCGGUAAUACGUAGGGGGCGAGCGUUGUCCGAAGUUACUGGGCGUAAAGCGCGCGUAGGCGGUUUCUUAAGUCUGAGGUGAAAGGUUAACGCUUAACGUGAACAGUGCCUUGGAUACUGGGAGACUUGAGUGUGGCAGAGGAUAGUGGAAUUCCUGGUGUAGCGGUGAAAUGCGUAGAUAUCAGGAGGAACACCCAUGGCGAAGGCAGCUAUCUGGGCUAAACUGACGCUGAGGUGCGAAAGCGUGGGGAGCGAACGGGAUUAGAUACCCUGGUAGUC